Molecule: ribosomal RNA, 941 nt
Filed under: uncultured bacterium
Lineage: Bacteria
Description: bacterial SSU rRNA
Rfam family: Bacterial small subunit ribosomal RNA
Source: RNAcentral
AGAGUUUGAUCCUGGCUCAGGAUGAACGCUAAGGCUUAACACGUGCAAGUCGCACGGGACAUGUUCAGCAAUGGAGAUGUCUAGUGGCGAAAGGGUGAGGAACACGUGAGCAACCUGCCUUCGGGUUCGGGAUAGCCCCGGGAAACUGGGUGUAAGACCGGAUGUGAUUACCGACUCAUGGUCGGUGUAUCAGCAGCAAUGCGCCGGAAGAUGGGCUCGCGUCCGAUUAGCUAGUUGGUGAGGUAACGGCCCACCAAGGCGACGAUCGGUAGCUGGUCUGAGAGGAUGGUCAGCCACACUGGGACUGAGACACUGCCCAGACUCCUACGGGAGGCUGCAGUCGAGAAUCUUCCGCAAUGGGCGAAAGCCUGACGGAGCAAUGCCGCGUGAGGGAUGAAGGCCUUCGGGUCGUAAACCUCUGUCGCCCGGGACGAAUUUUUGACGGUACCGGGAGAGGAAGCUACGGCUAACUACGUGCCAGCAGCCGCGGUAGUACGUAGGUAGCGAGCGUUAUUCGGAUUUACUGGGCGUAAAGGGUCCGCAGGGGGCCCGCCAAGUCUGAUGUGAAAGCCUACGGCUCAACCGUGGAAGGGCAUCGGAUACUGGCGGGCUAGAGUGCACGAGGGGUAGACGGAAUUCCAGGUGUAGCGGUGGAAUGCGUAGAUAUCUGGAAGAACACCGAUGGCGAAAGCGGUCUACUGGCGUGUUACUGACCCUCAGGGACGAAAGUGUGGGAGCAAACAGGAUUAGAUACCCUGGUAGUCCACACUGUAAACGGUGCGCAUUCGUUGCAGGAAGAACUUCGGUCCUUUCUGUGACUUAGCUAACGCGAUAAAUGCGCCGCCUGGGAACUACGGUCGCAAGACUAAAACUCAAAGGAAUUGACGGGGGCCCGCACAAGCGGUGGAGCAUGUGGCUUAAUUUCGAGGCAACGCGAAGAA